GCUGCCAACUGUUCCAUCGUCCCGGAUCGUGAUCCGGGAAGGAAAGUCCGGGCAACACAGAGCAGCGCACCUCCGAAACGGAGGGUGGCCAGCCAAAACUGGCCAACAGCAAGUGCUACAGAAAAUAACCGUCCCGAUAUUUUCCUAUCGGGUUAAGGGUGAAAAGGUGGGGUAAGAGCCCACCGGUGCCGCUGGUGACACUGGCAGCCGAGCAAACCUUGCGCGUUGAAAAGCCAAAUAAACCGGUUGAGCGGGGUUGCUCGCCCCCUUACGGUUGCCUUUUUGGCAGCUGGAACAACCGGAGGGUAGGCUGAUAGCUCCCAAAGGUGACUUUGGGACCAGAUAAAUGAUGGAAGUUUUCGGUCUUGCAAAAGGCCGGACACACAGAACCCGGCUUACAGGUUGGCAGCUCUU
RNAcentral lists this RNase P RNA (414 nucleotides) under Bacteroidetes bacterium SW_11_45_7. Its description in RNAcentral is "RNase P RNA component class A". It matches the Rfam family "Bacterial RNase P class A". Rfam says of the family: Ribonuclease P (RNase P) is a ubiquitous endoribonuclease, found in archaea, bacteria and eukarya as well as chloroplasts and mitochondria. Lineage: Bacteria; Pseudomonadati; Bacteroidota. The record is from RNAcentral.